Molecule: non-coding RNA, 73 nt
Organism: Bombyx mori (domestic silkworm)
Lineage: Eukaryota; Metazoa; Arthropoda; Insecta; Lepidoptera; Bombycidae
Source: Rfam
GCUUCGGUAGUUCAAUGGAUAGAACGUCCGCUUUCAAAGUCGGAAACUCCAGGUUCGAGUCCUGGCCGGGGCC